Molecule: ribosomal RNA, 497 nt
Filed under: uncultured bacterium
Lineage: Bacteria
Description: partial 16S ribosomal RNA
Rfam family: Bacterial small subunit ribosomal RNA
Source: RNAcentral
GAUGAACGCUGGCGGCGUGCCUAAUACAUGCCAGUCGAGCGAACGGACGAGAAGCUUGCUUCUCUGAUGUUAGCGGCGGACGGGUGAGUAACACGUGGAUAACCUACCUAUAAGACUGGGAUAACUUCGGGAAACCGGAGCUAAUACCGGAUAAUAUUUUGAACCGCAUGGUUCAAAAGUGAAAGACGGUCUUGGUGUCACUUAUAGAUGGAUCCGCGCUGCAUUAGCUAGUUGGUAAGGUAACGGCUUACCAAGGCAACGAUGCAUAGCCGACCUGAGAGGGUGAUCGGCCACACUGGAACUGAGACACGGUCCAGACUCCUACGGGAGGCAGCAGUAGGGAAUCUUCCGCAAUGGGCGAAAGCCUGACGGAGCAACGCCGCGUGAGUGAUGAAGGUCUUCGGAUCGUAAAACUCUGUUAUUAGGGAAGAACAUAUGUGUAAGUAACUGUGCACAUCUUGACGGUACCUAAUCAGAAAGCCACGGCUAACUACGUG